Molecule: ribosomal RNA, 84 nt
Filed under: Dryopteris filix-mas
Lineage: Eukaryota; Viridiplantae; Streptophyta; Polypodiopsida; Polypodiales; Dryopteridaceae
Also listed under: 34 other names
Description: partial 5.8S ribosomal RNA
Rfam family: 5.8S ribosomal RNA
About the family: 5.8S ribosomal RNA (5.8S rRNA) is a component of the large subunit of the eukaryotic ribosome.
Source: RNAcentral
UGCAGAAUCCCGUGAACCAUCGAGUCUUUGAACGCAAGUUGCGCCCGAAGCCAUUAGGCCGAGGGCACGUCUGCCUGGGCGUCA